This 449-nucleotide ribosomal RNA is filed under the name Escherichia coli. RNAcentral's name for it is "partial 23S ribosomal RNA". It matches the Rfam family "Bacterial large subunit ribosomal RNA", at positions 614 to 1063 of the family's 2925-position model. The record is from RNAcentral. Lineage: Bacteria; Pseudomonadati; Pseudomonadota; Gammaproteobacteria; Enterobacterales; Enterobacteriaceae.
AAUGGGUCAGCGACUUAUAUUCUGUAGCAAGGUUAACCGAAUAGGGGAGCCGAAGGGAAACCGAGUCUUAACUGGGCGUUAAGUUGCAGGGUAUAGACCCGAAACCCGGUGAUCUAGCCAUGGGCAGGUUGAAGGUUGGGUAACACUAACUGGAGGACCGAACCGACUAAUGUUGAAAAAUUAGCGGAUGACUUGUGGCUGGGGGUGAAAGGCCAAUCAAACCGGGAGAUAGCUGGUUCUCCCCGAAAGCUAUUUAGGUAGCGCCUCGUGAAUUCAUCUCCGGGGGUAGAGCACUGUUUCGGCAAGGGGGUCAUCCCGACUUACCAACCCGAUGCAAACUGCGAAUACCGGAGAAUGUUAUCACGGGAGACACACGGCGGGUGCUAACGUCCGUCGUGAAGAGGGAAACAACCCAGACCGCCAGCUAAGGUCCCAAAGUCAUGGUUAAG